GACGAACGCUGGCGGCGUGCUUAACACAUGCAAGUCGAACGGAAAGGCCCUGCUUUUGUGGGGUGCUCGAGUGGCGAACGGGUGAGUAACACAUGAGUAACCUGCCCUUGACUUUGGGAUAACUUCAGGAAACUGGAGCUAAUACCGGAUAGGAGCUCCUGCUGCAUGGUGGGGGUUGGAAAGUUUCGGCGGUUGGGGAUGGACUCGCGGCUUAUCAGCUUGUUGGUGGGGUAGUGGCUUACCAAGGCUUUGACGGGUAGCCGGCCUGAGAGGGUGACCGGCCACAUUGGGACUGAGAUACGGCCCAGACUCCUACGGGAGGCAGCAGUGGGGAAUAUUGCACAAUGGGCGGAAGCCUGAUGCAGCAACGCCGCGUGCGGGAUGACGGCCUUCGGGUUGUAAACCGCUUUCGCCUGUGACGAAGCGUGAGUGACGGUAAUGGGUAAAGAAGCACCGGCUAACUACGUG
Molecule: ribosomal RNA, 468 nt
Filed under: uncultured bacterium
Lineage: Bacteria
Description: partial 16S ribosomal RNA
Rfam family: Bacterial small subunit ribosomal RNA
Source: RNAcentral